This 490-nucleotide ribosomal RNA is filed under the name uncultured bacterium. RNAcentral's name for it is "partial 16S ribosomal RNA". It matches the Rfam family "Bacterial small subunit ribosomal RNA", at positions 29 to 506 of the family's 1533-position model. The record is from RNAcentral.
GUGAACGCUGGCGGUAGGCCUAACACCUGCAAGUCGAACGGCAGCACAGUAAGAGCUUGCUCUUACGGGUGGCGAGUGGCGGACGGGUGAGGAAUACAUCGGAAUCUACUUUUUCGUGGGGGAUAACGUAGGGAAACUUACGCUAAUACCGCAUACGACCUACGGGUGAAAGCAGGGGAUCUUCGGACCUUGCGCGAUUGAAUGAGCCGAUGUCGGAUUAGCUAGUUGGCGGGGUAAAGGCCCACCAAGGCGACGAUCCGUAGCUGGUCUGAGAGGAUGAGCAGCCACACUGGAACUGAGACACGGUCCAGACUCCGACGGGAGGCAGCAGUGGGGAAUAUUGGACAAUGGGCGCAAGCCUGAUCCAGCCAUACCGCGUGGGUGAAGAAGGCCUUCGGGUUGUAAAGCCCUUUUGUUGGGAAAGAAAAGCAGCAGGUUAAGACCCCGCUGUUCUGACGGUACCCAAAGAAUAAGCACCGGCUAACUUCGU